This 305-nucleotide ribosomal RNA is filed under the name uncultured bacterium. Its description in RNAcentral is "bacterial SSU rRNA". It matches the Rfam family "Bacterial small subunit ribosomal RNA", at positions 336 to 657 of the family's 1533-position model. The record is from RNAcentral.
UUCCUACGGGAGGCAGCAGUGGGGGAUAUUGCACAAUGGGGGAAACCCUGAUGCAGCGACGCCGCGUGAGUGAAGAAGUAUUUCGGUACGUAGAGCUCUAUCAGCAGGGAAGAAUAAUGACGGUACCUGACUAAGAAGCCCCGGCUAACUACGUGCCAGCAGCCGCGGUAAUACGCAGGGGGCAAGCGUUAUCCGGAUUUACUGGGUGUAAAGGGAGCGUAGACGGCCAGACAAGUCUGAAGUGAAAAUCCAGCGCUUAACGUUGGAAGUGCUUUGGAAACUGCCGGGCUAGAGUGCAGGAGGGG